Molecule: ribosomal RNA, 273 nt
Filed under: Bothriocroton tachyglossi
Lineage: Eukaryota; Metazoa; Arthropoda; Arachnida; Ixodida; Ixodidae
Description: partial small subunit ribosomal RNA
Source: RNAcentral
AUGUGAAAACAAAAAAUUAUGGCGGUGUCUUAAGCUUUUCAGAGGAAUUUGCUCUAUUAUGGAUAAAACGCCAAAAUCUUACUAAAACUAGCCAAAUCAGCUUGUAUACCACUAUUAAAGUAAUAAUUCAUUAUUAUAACUAUAAUUUUUUUAUUAAAAAUAAAUUAAGUCAAGGUGCAGCAAAAGUUUUAGGAUGAAGUGAAUUACAUUCCUUUUUAGGAAAAAAAAAUGAAAUAAAUUUAUUUAGGAUUUGAAAGUAAAUUUUUAAUAAAA